UACGAAGGGGGCGAGCGUUGUUCGGAAUUACUGGGCGUAAAGGGCGCGUAGGCGGCGACCCAAGUCAGAUGUGAAAGUCCUGGGCUUAACCUGGGGACUGCAUUUGAUACUGGGUUGCUUGAAUUCGGGAGAGGAUAGCGGAAUUCCCAGUGUAGCGGUGAAAUGCGUAGAUAUCCGGAGGAACACCGGUGGCGAAGGCGGCUUCCUGGACCGACACUGACGCUGAGGCGCGAAAGCUAGGGGAGCAAACGGG
This 253-nucleotide ribosomal RNA is filed under the name uncultured bacterium. RNAcentral's name for it is "partial 16S ribosomal RNA". It matches the Rfam family "Bacterial small subunit ribosomal RNA", at positions 524 to 776 of the family's 1533-position model. The record is from RNAcentral.